Molecule: ribosomal RNA, 468 nt
Filed under: uncultured bacterium
Lineage: Bacteria
Description: partial 16S ribosomal RNA
Rfam family: Bacterial small subunit ribosomal RNA
Source: RNAcentral
GACGAACGCUGGCGGCGUGCUUAACACAUGCAAGUCGAACGGAAAGGCCCUGCUUUUGUGGGGUGCUCGAGUGGCGAACGGGUGUGUAACACGUGAGUAACCUGCCCUUGUCUUUGGGAUAACUUCAGGAAACUGGGGCUAAUACCGGAUAGGAGCUCCUGCACCAUGGGGGGGGUUGGAAAAUUUCGGCGGUUGUGGAUGGACUCGCGGCUUAUCAGCUUGUUUGUGGGGUAGUGGCUUACCAAGGCUUUGACGGGUAGCCGGCCUGAGAGGGUGACCGGGCACAUUGGGACUGAGAUAGGGACCAGACUCCUACGGGAGGCAGCAGUGGGGAAUAUUGCACAAUGGGCGGAAGUCUGAUGCAGCAACGCCGCGUGCGGGAUGACGGCCUUCGGGUUGUAAACCGCUUUCGCCUGUGACGAAGCGUGAGUGACGGUAAUGGGUAAAGAAGCACCGGCUAACUACGUG